CGCGAACUUAAGCAUAUCAAUAAGCGGAGGAAAAGAAACCAACAAGGAUUGCCUCAGUAUCGGCGAGUGAAGCGGCAAAAGCUUAAAUUUGAAAUCUGGCACUAGCCCGAGUUGUAAUUUGUAGAGGAUGUCUUCAGCAAAGGCUUGAGUCUAAGUUCCCUGGAACGGGAUAUCAUGGAGGGUGAGAAUCCCGUACAUGGUUCAUUGUCUCUUGCAUCAUGAAGCUCCUUCAACGAGUCGAGUUGUUUGGGAAUGCAGCUCAAAACAGGAGGUAAAUUCCUUCCAAAGCUAAAUAUUAGCCAGAGACCGAUAGCGAACAAGUAGAGUGAUCGAAAGAUGAAAAGCACUUUGGAAAGAGAGUUAAAAAGUAUGUGAAAUUGUUGAAAGGGAAGCGCUUGCAACCAGACUU
This 409-nucleotide ribosomal RNA is filed under the name Hesperomyces virescens. Its description in RNAcentral is "LSU rRNA". It matches the Rfam family "Eukaryotic large subunit ribosomal RNA", at positions 26 to 436 of the family's 3401-position model. Lineage: Eukaryota; Fungi; Ascomycota; Laboulbeniomycetes; Laboulbeniales; Laboulbeniaceae. The record is from RNAcentral.